AUUGAACGCUGGCGGCAUGCCUUACACAUGCAAGUCGAACGGUAACAGGUCUUCGGAUGCUGACGAGUGGCGAACGGGUGAGUAAUACAUCGGAACGUGCCUAGUAGUGGGGGUUAACUACUCGAAAGAGUGGCUAAUACCGCAUGAGAUCUACGGAUGAAAGCAGGGGAUCGCAAGACCUUGUGCUACUAGAGCGGCCGAGGGCAGAUUAGGUAGUUGGUGGGAUAAAAGCUUACCAAGCCGACGAUCUGUAGCUGGUCUGAGAGGACGAUCAGCCACACUGGGACUGAGACACGGCCCAGACUCCUACGGGAGGCAGCAGUGGGGAAUUUUGGACAAUGGGCGAAAGCCUGAUCCAGCAAUGCCGCGUGCAGGAUGAAGGCCUUCGGGUUGUAAACUGCUCUUGUACGGAACGAAAAGCCCCGGGUUAAUACCCUGGGGUCGUGACGGUACCGUAAGAAUAAGCACCGGCUAACUACGUGCCAGCCGCCGCCGUAA
RNAcentral lists this ribosomal RNA (498 nucleotides) under uncultured bacterium. RNAcentral describes it as "partial 16S ribosomal RNA". It matches the Rfam family "Bacterial small subunit ribosomal RNA", at positions 30 to 523 of the family's 1533-position model. The record is from RNAcentral.